UGUAAUAGACAAUAGUUGUCAGCAAGACUAACAAAACAAAACAGGACAGAACCACAUUUGCUGUGUCUGUCAUUGUUUAUUCACGCAGCUCUCUCUCCACUCACAACCAGCAACACCACUCCUCUCUCCAUUUCCUUCUUCUUUGUUUCUUUCUCAAACUUCAAAUGCAGUUGCCAAUGAUGGUGUUUUUCUGUGUUUCAUUUUUCAAGGUUGGAACUGCUGUUGUCACCCGCCAAGAUGGAAGAUUGGCAGUUGGAAGAUUAGGGACUCUCUGUGAGCAGAUUAAGGAACUGAAUUCCUUAGGAUAUGAGGUUAUUUUGGUGUCAUCUGGUGCUGUUGGUAUUGGCCGCCAAAGACUCAGAUACAGGAAAUUAAUCAACAGCAGCUUUACUGAGCUACAGAAUCCGCAAUUUGACCUUGAUGGCAAGGCUUGUGCUGCUGUUGGACAAAGUAGUCUUAUGGCUCUUUAUGAUACUUUGUUUGGUCAACUCGACGUGACAUCUGCUCAGCUUCUAGUGACAGACAAUGAUUUUAGAGAUAAAGAUUUCAGAAAGCAACUAUCUGAAACUGUGAAAUCCUUGUUAGCUCUAAAAGUCAUUCCAGUAUUCAAUGAGAAUGAUGCCGUCAGUACUAGGAAAGCUCCAUAUGAGGAUUCUUCUGGAAUAUUUUGGGAUAAUGAUAGUUUAUCUGCUUUAUUGGCUCUGGAGUUAAAAGCCGAUCUUCUUGUUUUGUUGAGUGAUGUUGAAGGUCUUUAUAGCGGCCCUCCAAGUGACCCACAUUCAAAGCUCAUUCGUGCAUAUAUUAAGGAAAGGCAUCAGAAUGAAAUUACUUUUGGCGACAAGUCUAGGGUGGGAAGAGGUGGAAUGACAGCCAAAGUAAAAGCUUCUGUUCAUGCUGCUGAGGCUGGCAUUCCUGUUAUUAUUACCAGUGGUUUUGAAACUGAAAGCAUCAUUAACAUUCUCCAAGGACAACAUAUUGGAACCCUCUUCCAUAAAGAUGCACAUGAGUGGACCACAUUGAAAGACGUUGAUGCACGCGAGAUGGCUGUUGCAGCCAGGGAAUGUUCCAGACGGCUUCAGGCAUUAUCUUCAGAAGAGAGGAAACAAAUUUUACUAAAAAUAGCUGAUGCGCUGGAAGCAAAUGAAAAAGUGAUCAAGAAUGAAAAUGAAGCUGAUAUAGCUGCUGCACAGCAAGCAGGAUAUGAAAAAUCUUUGGUGGCUAGGCUAGCUUUAAAACCUGGGAAGAUUGAAAGCCUUGCGAACAACUUGCGAAUUAUUGCAAAUAUGGAAGAACCAAUUGGCCAAGUAUUAAAACGAACUGAGCUUUCAGAUGGGCUAAUUUUGGAGAAAACAUCAUCUCCUUUGGGAGUUCUUCUGAUUAUUUUUUAGUCUCGCCCUGAGGCACUAGUACAGAUAGCUUCCUUGGCAAUCAGAAGUGGGAAUGGACUUCUCUUGAAAGGAGGCAAGGAAGCUUUGCGAUCAAAUGCAAUUUUGCACAAAGUAAUUACUGAAGCCAUACCAGAUACUGUUGGUGGAAAACUUAUUGGACUUGUGACAUCAAGAGCAGAAAUUCCUGAACUACUUAAGCUGGAUGACGUAAUUGAUCUGGUGAUUCCAAGAGGCAGCAAUAAACUUGUAUCUCAGAUCAAGAGUUCCACAAAAAUUCCCGAGUUGGGUCAUGCAGAUGGAAUUUGCCACGUCUAUGUUGACAAGUCUGCUAACACGGAGAUGGCAAGGCAGAUUGUACUGGAUGCAAAAGUAUAUUAUCCAGCAGCCUGCAAUGCCAUGGAAACACUUCUUGUCCACAAGGAGUUAAUAGAGAAAGGUUGGCUUAAUGAUAUUAUAGUUGACCUACAAACGAAAGGUGUUACAUUAUAUGGAGGACCAAAGGCAACUUCUUUGUUAAAUAUUCCACAGGCACGUACGUUUCAUCAUGAGUACAGUUCAUUGGCUUGCACUGUUGAAAUUGUGGAUGAUGUGUAUGCAGCUAUUAAUCAUAUAAAUCUUUAUGGAAGUGCACAUACUGAUUGCAUCGUUGCAGAAGAUCAUGAAGUAGCUGAUGUGUUCCUACGCCAAGUAGACAGUGCGUCUGUUAUUCACAAUGCAAGCACAAGAUUUUGUGAUGGGGCACGAUUUGGACUAGGUGCAGAGGUUGGAACAAGUACAAGCAGGAUUCAUGCUCGAGGCCCAGUUGGCGUUGAAGGAUUGUUGACAACAAGAUGGAUUCUGAAAGGAAGUGGACAAGUAGUAGAUGGUGAUAAAGAGAUUGUCUACACCCACAGAGACCUUGCAACUUAAUUUGGCUGUUGUCUGCUGUAUUUUCUUCUGUAACCUCUUGUCAUGGGAUUGCAGGGUGGAGUUGUACGAUUAAACAGGGGUAUUUGUAUUAACUGUUGAUUUUUUUUCCUAAAGAUGUUUCCGGCAAUGUCAAUUACAGGACUUGUGAGGAUUUUGUUAUUUAAUGCAUUUGUUUUUGGAGUGAGCAAAUGAAUAUUAUAACCUUUCCUUUCAGCUUAAACACUUACAUUAUCUA
Molecule: RNA transcript, 2532 nt
Organism: Lotus japonicus
Lineage: Eukaryota; Viridiplantae; Streptophyta; Magnoliopsida; Fabales; Fabaceae
Gene name: delta-1-pyrroline-5-carboxylate synthase-like
Exons: 19
Source: RefSeq, a predicted model, not a curated record